CGGGGUGUGGCGCAGCUUGGUAGCGCAUCCGCUUUGGGAGCGGAGGGUCGCAGGUUCAAAUCCUGUCACCCCGA
This is a transfer RNA of 74 nucleotides. It matches the Rfam family "tRNA". From Rfam's summary of the family: Transfer RNA (tRNA) molecules are approximately 80 nucleotides in length. Their secondary structure includes four short double-helical elements and three loops (D, anti-codon, and T loops). Further hydrogen bonds mediate the characteristic L-shaped molecular structure. tRNAs have two regions of fundamental functional importance: the anti-codon, which is responsible for specific mRNA codon recognition, and the 3' end, to which the tRNAs corresponding amino acid is attached (by aminoacyl-tRNA synthetases). tRNAs cope with the degeneracy of the genetic code in two manners: having more than one tRNA (with a specific anti-codon) for a particular amino acid; and 'wobble' base-pairing, i.e. permitting non-standard base-pairing at the 3rd anti-codon position. The record is from Rfam.